CUUCAAAGAGAGCUCAAAAACAAAGAAAUGGUUUAGUUGACUGAACAGAGAUUUCAGCCCAAGAUAACUGAAGCCCUGUCACAGCUUGCUGUGGCCAGUCCAGCUUACUGAACAUAAUGUCUCUAUUCCAGUCUUAGCUAGAACGUUUUUUUUGAAAAAGGUUAGCCCUGAGCUAACAUCUGCCACCAAUCCUCCUCUUUUUUUUUUUUUUGGAAGAUUUUAUUUUUUUUCCUUUUUCUCCCCACAGCCCCCCGGUACAUAGUUGUAUAUUCUUAGUUGUGGGUCCUUCUAGUUGUGGCAUGUGGGACACUGCCUCAGCAUGGCUUGAUGAACAGUGCCAUGUCUGCACCCAGGAUUCGAACUGACAAAACACUGGGCCGCCUGCGGUGGAACGCACGAACUUAACCACUAGGCCACGGGGCCAGCCCCCAAUCCUCCUCUUUUUGCUGAGGAAGACUGGCCCUGAGCUAACAUCUGUGCCCAUCUUCCUCUACUUUAUAUGUGUGACGCCUGCCACAGCAUGGCUCUACAAGUAGUGCGUAGGUCCGCACCCAGGAUCCAAACCAGCCAAUCCUGGGCUGCAGAAGUAGAACAUGCACACUUAACUGCUGCGCCACCAGGCUGGCCCCUAGAACCUUUUCUUGUUUGGAUGUUUGACCAACUACUGAUGCUCUCUGGUUGUUAUUUAAGCCAAAUUAUUCUUUUGACUCAGCAAAUGUUAACAUGGGAAGGCGCCUAGUCUUAACUGCUCAGGGAUCUGGUCCUAGCAUUCGGAAAGGAAGAGAAGAGCCUAAAAGUUAUUUUUAUCCUCUUCCUAGCUAACUUUUGUAAAUUGCAAUCCAAUAGAUUACACCAGGAAGAGACAGGAGGGGCACUCAUUUGUGGAAGCUGCCCCCCUGCCUUGCUCCCUCUCCCUUUUGCUGAACUGUUUUAAAGCCAAUUCUGGACCCUGUACAUCUGCUCGUGUGCAUCUCUGAAGCAUCUGCACGUCUUACUCCGACACCCUACGGUCCGUAUUCCACCAUCGACCGUGAUUCCUGAGGGCAUCUUGUGAACUUUGGUCUGGGUAAUGGGGAGACACAGAGGACUUUGCAGGGCAGGGGUGUGUGUGUGCAACCGAGUUGUGUCCGUGUGUGGGAUGGUUUGGGCAUGGGGGAGGUUAGAGCAGGCAGGCCAAUUAUGAACACCCUCGGUCUAGGUGCCAGGUGGUGGGGUCUGAUGCUUGGCGGUUGCAGCAGGAUGGAGAAGAAGAGGAAGAUGAGCUGGAGAACCUCUGUGGGGGCCCACUGACUAG
Molecule: long non-coding RNA, 1294 nt
Filed under: Equus asinus (donkey)
Lineage: Eukaryota; Metazoa; Chordata; Mammalia; Perissodactyla; Equidae
Description: lncRNA (ENSEASG00005028462.1)
Source: RNAcentral